AGUCGAGGGGUAGAGGAAGCUUGCUUCCUUGAGACCGGCGCACGGGUGCGUAACGCGUAUGCAAUCUACCUUUUACAGGGGAAUAGCCCAGAGAAAUUUGGAUUAAUGCCCCAUAGUGUAAUUGAAUGGCAUCAUUUGAUUACUAAAGUUCCAACGGUAAAAGAUGAGCAUGCGUCCUAUUAGCUAGUUGGUGUGGUAACGGCACACCAAGGCAACGAUAGGUAGGGGUCCCGAGAGGGAGAUCCCCCACACUGGUACUGAGACACGGACCAGACUCCUACGGGAGGCAGCAGUGAGGAAUAUUGGACAAUGGGCGCAAGCCUGAUCCAGCCAUGCCGCGUGCAGGAAGAAGCAUCUAUGGUGUGUAAACUGCUUUUGUACGGGAAGAAACACUCCUACGUGUAGGAGCUCGACGGUACCGUAAGAAUAAGGAUCGGCUAACUCCGUGCCAGCAGCCGCGGUAAUACGGAGGAUCCAAGCGUUAUCCGGAAUCAUUGGGUUUAAAGGGUCCGUAGGCGGUUUAAUAAGUCAGUGGUGAAAUCUGGUCGCUCAACGAUCAAACGGCCAUUGAUACUGUUAGACUUGAAUUACUAGGAAGUAACUAGAAUAUGUAGUGUAGCGGUGAAAUGCUUAGAUAUUACAUGGAAUACCAAUUGCGAAGGCAGGUUACUACUAGU
RNAcentral lists this ribosomal RNA (677 nucleotides) under uncultured Bacteroidota bacterium. RNAcentral's name for it is "bacterial SSU rRNA". It matches the Rfam family "Bacterial small subunit ribosomal RNA", at positions 60 to 736 of the family's 1533-position model. Lineage: Bacteria; Pseudomonadati; Bacteroidota. The record is from RNAcentral.